RNAcentral lists this ribosomal RNA (488 nucleotides) under uncultured bacterium. RNAcentral's name for it is "partial 16S ribosomal RNA". It matches the Rfam family "Bacterial small subunit ribosomal RNA", at positions 30 to 507 of the family's 1533-position model. The record is from RNAcentral.
UGAACGCUGGCGGCAGGCCUAACACAUGCAAGUCGACCGGUAACAGGAAGCAGCUUGCUGCUUCGCUGACGAGUGGCGGACGGGUGAGUAAUGUCUGGGAAGCUGCCUGAUGGAGGGGGAUAACUACUGGAAACGGUAGCUAAUACCGCAUAAUGUCGCAAGACCAAAGAGGGGGACCUUCGGGCCUCUUGCCAUCGGAUGUGCCCAGAUGGGAUUAGCUUGUUGGUGGGGUAACGGCUCACCAAGGCGACGAUCCCUAGCUGGUCUGAGAGGAUGACCAGCCACACUGGGACUGAGACACGGUCCAGACUCCUACGGGAGGCAGCAGUGGGGAAUAUUGCACAAUGGGCGCAAGCCUGAUGCAGCCAUGCCGCGUGUAUGAAGAAGGCCUUCGGGUUGUAAAGUACUUUCAGCGGGGAGGAAGGGAGUAAAGUUAAUACCUUUGCUCAUUGACGUUACCCGCAGAAGAAGCACCGGCUAACUCCGUG